ACGGAAUCCGGGGGAGGCCGAAACCCGGUAGUCGAUGGAACCUCUCACUGCAAAAUCUCCCCGCUUUUUGAGGCUGGAGCCGAGAAGAACGCCACAGAACAACGCGGGGGAAGAGGGGGCACCUCCCCCUUACCUUGAUGGCUUUCUCCAUGUCGCUCUCUUCCGACAUACUCAGUGGGGCCCCCACAGCCGGGAGAGGCGGAGGCUGCUCAGCCGCCCUGUCCCCGCGCGGCCGAGGGAGCAAAGGGCUCGGCACUCGGGCCCCUGGGCCUCGUGGCGACGGGCAGCAGCCGCCCCUCGGGACCGGUGGGGAUGAGGACCCCGGCGCCGGCUCUGCUUCGGCGGGCGGCUCUAGGCUGGCGGCAGCAGCAGCGGGGGAGGCGGCGGCCCCUGGGGACAAGUCUUUGUGCUGGGCCCCGCGCGGCCGCCUCCUAGCCUCAUCCCCAGCUGGGGAGGCAGGCUCCCGGGGUAGGGCGAGGCGGGGAGGGCCUCGACCCGGGGUGCUGUGUAGGGACCUCGCGGGGCCGCCGCUUAGACCCGGGCUCGCCAGGUCCUAAAAAGGAGCCUGCGCCUCCGCCUCCGCCGCCUGCACCGCCGCGAAGCCGAAGCCGAAGCAGAGCUCGGCGCCGCUGCUCCCGCCGCCGCCUCAGCGCCACACAUCGCCGGGACACCCGCGCCGGGCAGCCCCGCCGGCCGCCCUCACGCACGCGCUGUGCCCCGCAGGAGCUCAGGGCCGCCCCUCCUGCCGCCCAGCUUCGUGACUCCACGGCCCCACGCGCCCCUUGCUGCCUUCCGCUGGGGUUUCCGAGCCGCCCCCGAGCCGCGCACCCGACUUGCAGGCGCCCGCUUGGGCCUCCCUAAAACGCGCCGCAUACAGGACAGGCCCCUGGGCCUUCCGCGGCGAUGGCGCUGCGCUAAUGACGUCAUAGGCCCGGACUCGCGUGAGUGCGCGUGCGUUGGGGCCUCAGCCUUUACCUCCACACUGCGGAGAUUCACGCCUGGAAAACGCUCUUCUGAGAUGAUCUGUGGAGGUCAACCCAGGAGAGAGAAGACAGGACUGAAGCACCGAAAGGGUCCUGCCGUAACGGAGCAGGAUUGUAUAGAAUAUAUAAUAGCAGUAGCAGCUCUGUUUACGGAGCAUUAACCUUACGUGGAGUUAUUUCCUGCAUUUCCUCCUUUCAUCUUUACAAGGUAGCCAUUUGGCGUUGGGAGGUAUGGAUGUUCCCAUCCCUAAUUUGCAAAAUAGGUAACUGAGGCUCAGGAGAGCUAGACUAGUUUGUGCACAGCCGAGAAGUGGUCAAGCUAGAAUGGGACCCCAGGUUUGUGCUCCCUACUCUCCACCGAUAACCUAUCAAAGGGCUUUGCAAGAGCUUUUGACUAAUCGCCUCUCAGUGGUUCUCAUUCACUUAAUUGCACAUCAGUAUGUGCCAAAUCUACUAGACAUUGGAGAAACAGUAGGAACAACACCUGGUAGCGGCACAUGGAUCUUUCAGGAAAAUGAAGUAGGUAAUAAACAGGAAAAAGCCCGAAUCUGAUGCUAAGAAGAACAUAAACAGGAUGCUGAGAGAUUGGGUCUCUCCACAUUGCCUAGGCUGCUCUCCAACUUCUGAGCUCAAGUGAUCCACCUCCCUUGGCCUCCCAAAGUACUAGGAUUACAGGCGUGAGCCACCGUGCCUGGCUGAGAAGAUGGAUUUAAGACAUGUUUUGGAGCGGAAAGUGAGCAGAAGAGGUGUGCAGUUUCCAGGCCUGGCCCAUACAGACCUCCAACAGGUGUUCCCCUGUGCUCUUACUCCUUCUGCCAACUGGAAGCAGAUGGUGACAGGCUCUGGAGAAGGCAAGGCCUGAAGAUGGGAGAUUCCUAAGUGGAGGAGAACUGUGCCUUACUGACCUAAAUAUCCACUCAGUAUUGUUAUGUGAGAAUAAAUAAACUUGUGUUGACCUUUUA
Molecule: long non-coding RNA, 1945 nt
Filed under: Pongo abelii (Sumatran orangutan)
Lineage: Eukaryota; Metazoa; Chordata; Mammalia; Primates; Hominidae
Description: lincRNA
Source: RNAcentral